ACUCAAAGGAAUUGACGGGGGCCCGCACAAGCGGUGGAGCAUGUGGUUCAAUUCGAAGCAACGCGAAGAACCUUACCUGGGUUUGAAAUGUAUUGGUAAGCCUCAGAGACGAGGUCCCCUCUUCGGAGGCCGGUACAUAGGUGCUGCAUGGCUGUCGUCAGCUCGUGUCGUGAGAUGUUGGGUUAAGUCCCGCAACGAGCGCAACCCUUGUCCAUAGUUACUAACGCGUAGUGGCGAGAACUCUAUGGAGACUGCCGGUGAUAAACCGGAGGAAGGUGGGGAUGACGUCAAGUCCUCAUGGCCUUGAUGUCCAGGGCUACACACGUGCUACAAUGGGCGGUACAAAGAGUUGCAAAGUCGCGAGACGGAGCUAAUCUCAAAAAGCCGCUCUCAGUUCGGAUUGCAGUCUGCAACUCGACUGCAUGAAGCUGGAAUCGCUAGUAAUCGCGGAUCAGAACGCCGCGGUGAAUACGUUCCCGGGCCUUGCACACACCGCCCGU
This 500-nucleotide ribosomal RNA is filed under the name uncultured bacterium. Its description in RNAcentral is "partial 16S ribosomal RNA". It matches the Rfam family "Bacterial small subunit ribosomal RNA", at positions 899 to 1397 of the family's 1533-position model. The record is from RNAcentral.